RNAcentral lists this long non-coding RNA (276 nucleotides) under Elaeis guineensis (African oil palm). RNAcentral describes it as "long non-coding RNA (EGUI_LNC051737)". Lineage: Eukaryota; Viridiplantae; Streptophyta; Magnoliopsida; Arecales; Arecaceae. The record is from RNAcentral.
GAGAGUCGAAGAAAUCAGACGGUGGUCGAGAUGUUCUCGUCCUUCUACCCGAUGAUACUCGGAAUAAGCUGCUUUUACUCUUUUUUUUUAUUUGAUUUGACUCAUCUUCUGUCUGCAGUUGGUCCACGAUAUGUUUGACCUAGAAGCCGGCUAUGUGAAGUUCGAUGACUUUCAUUGAACAUGGAUGAAUAAAGUGGCGGCCGCUGAUGCUAAGAAGGCAGCUGAGCGGGAGGCCAAGCUUCGGUAGAAAGUCUCUCGAUUGACUAACGAUCUGGA